AUUGAACGCUGGCGGCAGGCCUAACACAUGCAAGUCGAGCGGAAACGAUCCUAGCUUGCUAGGAGGCGUCGAGCGGCGGACGGGUGAGUAAUGCAUAGGAAUCUACCCAGUCGUGGGGGAUAACCUGAGGAAACUCAGGCUAAUACCGCAUACGUCCUACGGGAGAAAGCGGGGGCUCUUCGGACCUCGCGCGAUUGGAUGAGCCUAUGUCGGAUUAGCUUGUUGGUAAGGUAACGGCUUACCAAGGCGACGAUCCGUAGCUGGUCUGAGAGGAUGAUCAGCCACACCGGGACUGAGACACGGCCCGG
This 308-nucleotide ribosomal RNA is filed under the name uncultured Chromohalobacter sp. RNAcentral describes it as "bacterial SSU rRNA". It matches the Rfam family "Bacterial small subunit ribosomal RNA", at positions 30 to 334 of the family's 1533-position model. The record is from RNAcentral. Lineage: Bacteria; Pseudomonadati; Pseudomonadota; Gammaproteobacteria; Oceanospirillales; Halomonadaceae.